Photinus pyralis (common eastern firefly) is the source of this 1196-nucleotide long non-coding RNA. RefSeq lists it as uncharacterized. Lineage: Eukaryota; Metazoa; Arthropoda; Insecta; Coleoptera; Lampyridae. The record is from RefSeq and is a predicted model, not a curated record. The transcript has 2 exons.
UGACCUAUUCAUUAAUUUUUUUAUAGGAGUUCACUGGACAAGAUGACAGCGAUCUUUUCUUGGAAGAACGGGAGAAGGCUUUACAGCAAGCACAAACCGAGAAACGUAGAGUUCAAAUGACUGUACCUGGUAUCCUAAACCCGCACGAAGUACCAGAAGAGAUGCAGGACUAGCCCGUUGAUGGAUAUUUUUGUAUCUAUGAGUUUUUACAAGCCGUGCAAUAGUUUGUGUUUUGUAUUUGAUUACUAAAACCGAGUGUGCGCCACUGUAACAUUUGAUAUGGGUUUCCUGUUGUUCGACCACAAAAAUGAGUAUAAAACACUUACUAUAUUGCACUUAUACUGAGAAAGGUCAUUUUUGAGGCUUUUGCGCUAAUAUGCCAAUAAUGAAAGCGUAGUAAACAAUUGACCUGGUCUUUGUUUUUGUAACUAACUUUACUAAAAAAAUUUGUAUAAUUGAUCAGAUAUUGUUUUUUAAUUGAGAGUGAUUUUCUUUGUUAGAGAGUAUGAAUGGGUUAUACUGGGUGUUGUGAACUUGAUUAAAGUUUAAUGUAAUAGUUAUGUAAUGGAUAGUUGUUUAGGUAAGAUUGUUUAUAUAAGUUUUUCUUUAGUUUUGUUAAGGUUUUGACCAAACAAGUUCCCAUUUUUGAUUUUUUUUUUAAAUAAAAAUUAUGCGCUUUUUUCACCAAUUUUUUUCUGUACUUAUGAAUGUAUUUAUCUUUAAUGGGCAGUCAGGUUUCAUUGUUAGUUUGUUACUAUUGUAUGGCAGCGGAUUUAUGAAUAAUUCGGUAAUACAACGCAGUGGUUACUAACCAGCGAUAUUUUGUACAAAAUUUUCAUAUUCAAUUGUAAAAAUGUUAUACUAGCUUUUAAUACUGCAUCUGGAUGAUUCACAAUGCCUGCCAUAUGAGAAAAAAUUUUAGUUCCUCGCUUAGCUAGUAGAACAUUUUCUCACCUAUUAAUAUUAAUUUGGCAUUUCACACCGAUAAUUUCCUUUAGUUUUGUGGCUGUAAAUGGGCUAACGGUUGCGGUUUUACGAAUUGCGUUUGCUUCUGUUUUUAUAAGACUCCCAUUAUCACGACAUUGCCCCCUAUGAAAAUGAGAUAGCAAUUAGUUACAUCUUUUGUACAAAUAGAAUUCUGAUAGUUUGCUUUGUGAGCAGUUCAGAUAUUUUAGAAAUAUAAUGUAUAAAACGAA